UGUGUUAACCGUGUUCGUUCCGUCGCUGGUGACUGGUCGUUUCUUUUCUUUUCGUUUCGUUUCGUCUGCGGUCUAAGAAAGAAAGGAGCGCUCCUUUUCGCUUCUCUCUGUUUUCGUCUCCGGGUCGGUCUCUCUCCUCUUCUUCUUCUCUCAUCGGAGUUAUUAACAAACCCGUAGCCCUUAGGGUCGAGGCGUAGGUAGAGGAUCGAUCGCGACUUAAGGUUCUCUAGAGUGGGGAGAGAGAGGAGGGAGAGGGGGCAGGAAGAAGGAGGGGAGAGAGGAGGCAAAACCACCGCCCCACCACGUUCAACCAACGUCACCUCAACCGUGUCCCGCAACGGAAAAACCCGCGUGUUGUUUGUGUAUCCGUCCUCCUCCUCCUCCUCCUCCUCCUCCGAACACGAAGAGAGCGGAGCGGAAACGCCCCGGCGGCGAAAACCCGGAGGAGGAAGGGUAACCUCGCAUGUUUCGACCCGCCGUGGUAAAUUUCCUUCUCGUCGUCCUCCCCCUCCUCUAGCUCGGUUUGGGAGCGGUUUCUUUCCUUGUUCUCGUCACUCUCGCGUGGUGGUGGUAGUGAUCACGAUGAUGUGACGUGAGGCAGGGUCGGUCGGUCUCCUCCUAGCGCAGCGCGGCGACAAGGAAGACGGGACGGGAUAGCGGCGCCCCGAGGGAGGGAUGGCCGGCACUCCUGGCUGCCCGCUAGGGUUCCAGCCUCUUUCACAUCGGACGUUCGAAGAGUUUAGACCCAUGACAAACAUCUCCUCACCGGAAAAAAGUCAUUUCGAAACCUGUAAUAGAACAUCAAACCUACCGUAGGUACCAAUGAGAGUACACAAACACCUCGGGACCUACGGCUCGAGUGGUAACUACGCGUUGACACCUCUACAUUGAACACGAUGUGGUAAACAGGGGAGUAACGUCUGCUUUCAACCCAUCGUUUUAGUUCGCAAGAAGGCAUCGAACCAGUUCACAAACACUCCGAGUUCGGCCUCGUAGUUUAAAACAGACCGUACGUCUACAGUUGUCUAGGAUUGGUGAUGCCGCAUAAAGGCGUAAGUAAGAAGCCGGUUGUACACCAAAGUAAAGUCUGCUCACGUUAAUGGUUACCCGGCCCUCGGUACAGCCAGACGGACCUGUGAAGGUCACCCUAUUUACCAUUAGACCGUUACAACUUGUGAUGUGGAAGCUGCUAACAUAGGUGACGAAGUGGGUUGUACUAAGGACUAAGAUCGGUCUCGGAUUUCAUACCUCCAGGUUACCGACACCUCACCAGUAUGGGACUCAAUGUCUACGAAUUACUGCCGGAGGUAUUCAUACGUUCACUUGGCCCUUAGUACUUCAUAUAGUUCUAUCGUCGUUACAACGGUCUCUUCUGUCAUUCUCUACACCGGUACUCUACGGUCACCUACCGCCUUUUUGUUUUAUGUUCUGCUGCCUUCUGACUUCUUGUGUUACAACCUUCUUUCUAAUUUCUAUCUUUCCGACAUAGAGUCCUGUUUUACCACCUCCGCAGUAACACCUGAUUGUUAGCAAGACAAGGUUGUCUGUGGUCUCCAAGAAGACAAUGCUGUCGGAGACUGUAGCUGGCACGUUACGAAUUACAUAACCUUCUUUUACGAGCUGAAGAGUUAGUUUAUCUUCGUUUAUAAAACUGUAGUGUCCGAGUCUUGUUGUAACUAGAAAAGGUAGCGUGUUCUUCAUUGUAGUUAUUAGAAGAUGUUUCGUACUCGGUUUAUGGACCUUAUUACUCGUUCUACGGAUCCAACGGAUAAAGUCACCUACUUUUCGAAACGUCAAUAGACGAGGGCCCACAAUUAAACCGGGUUCAAGAAUCGUCGUCGAUGGACUUUCUCCUCGGUUCUCCUUUGACCACUCGGUAACGUUUCCACCGAGGAGUAAAAAGUCGUUAUCUACUUUCCAAACCUCUCGAGAAACGGGGCACAGACGCACCUCUUCGUUCUCUACGUUCUUUGUAGGUAGAAAAGGAUGCAUUAUAGGCCUCUCGGUGUGACGCCACACACGGAAGUUUGUGCCGCAGUUUACACGAGAGAGACGUUCAGAUAUAUAUUAUAAUCAGUAACUUUUAUCCCUCCCAAAAGCGUUAACGUCAAAAGGAGUAGAACAACGUGUAUAACAAACCAAAAGAGGGGACCAGGUCGAAAACGAGGUCAGGUUCACUAGUAGAAUUGUUCAUCACAUCGUAUCUUUGAACUAUGUUUAUUAAUCGUCCUUUUACGGGAAAACAGUGAACGUUCCAUUGGGAAGACACACAUUACGUUUCGAGAGUGAAGUGACAUUAGAGAGAAGUGACCUGCACGGCUCAUACUAGUUGUGUUGUGUUUAGAGUAGUUUAGUUCUUGCAACCAUCUAUUUCGAGUAACUCACUGGUAAGGGGUACAAUACUGAUCUUCUCCUGAGUUUGGGGAAUCAAAAAGUACGAGCCUCAAGACUGUGCCAACGAUAAAAUAGUAACACCGAGAAGUACGGUAAAGUCAAGUUUUUUAAUGUACUG
Molecule: ribosomal RNA, 2512 nt
Filed under: Triticum aestivum (bread wheat)
Lineage: Eukaryota; Viridiplantae; Streptophyta; Magnoliopsida; Poales; Poaceae
Description: partial small subunit ribosomal RNA
Source: RNAcentral